GUGGAAUAAUGGAUUCCGGUUGAUCCUGCCGGCGGCCACCGCUAUUGGAAUGCGAUUAAGACAUGCGAGUCGAGAGACAUUUGGUCUCGGCGGACCGCUCAGUAACACGUGGACAACAUGCCCUAAGGUGGGGGAUAAUCUCGGGAAACUGAGGAUAAUACCCCAUAGGUCUAAUCUGCUGGAAUGCUUUUAGGCCGAAAACUCCGGUGCCUUAGGAUUGGUCUGCGGUCUAUCAGGUUGUAGUGGGUGUAAUGGACCCACUAGCCCGUGACGGAUAUGGGCCUUGAGAGAGGGAGCCCAGAGAUGGACUCUGAGACAUGAGUCCAGGCCCUACGGGGCGCAGCAGUCGCGAAAACUUCGCAAUGGGGGAAACCCCGACGAGGGAAUUCCAAGUGCCAGCAUUUAAUGUUGGCUGUUCUUUUGUCUAAAAAACAUGAGAAGUAAGGGGCGGGUAAGACGGGUGCCAGCCGCCGCGGUAAUACCCGCGCCCCAAGUGGUGGUCGAUAUUAUUGAGCCUAAAACGUCCGUAGCCGGUUUUCUAAAUCCUUGGGUAAAUCGGGCAGCUUAACUGUCCGAAUUCCGGGGAGACUGGGAGACUUGGGACCGGGAGAGGUCAGAGGUACUUCUGGGGUAGGGGUAAAAUCCUGUAAUCCUGGAAGGACCACCGGUGGCGAAGGCGUCUGACUAGAACGGAUCCGACGGUGAGGGACGAAGCCCUGGGGCGCAAACGGGAUUAGAUACCCCGGUAGUCCAGGGUGUAAACGCUGCGGGCUUGGUGUUGGGGGUCCUUAGUGGGCGCCCAGUGCCGGAGAGAAGUUGUUAAGCCUGCUGCUUGGGGAGUAUGUCCGCAAGGAUGAAACUUAAAGGAAUUGGCGGGGGAGCACCGCAACGGGAGGAGCGUGCGGUUCAAUUGGAUUCAACGCCGAAAAACUCACCAGGAGCGACGGAUAUAUGAAGGUCAAGCCGAUGACUUUACCUGAUUUUCCGAGAGGUGGUGCAUGGCCGUCGUCAGUUCGUACCGUAAGGCGUUCUCUUAAGUGAGAUAACGAACGAGACCCUCACCAUUAAUUGCUAAUCCUUUCUCCGGAGGGGAUGCACAUUAAUGGGACCGCUGGCGCUAAGUCAGAGGAAGGAGAGGUCAACGGUAGGUCCGUAUGCCCCGAAUCUCCUGGGCAACACGCGCGCUACAAAGGACGGGACAAUGGGCUUCAACACCGAAAGGUGAAGACAAUCCUGAAACCCGUCCAUAGUUCGGAUUGGGGGCUGUAACUCGCCCCCAUGAAGCUGGAUUCCGUAGUAAUCGCUUGUCAACAUCAAGCGGUGAAUAUGCCCCUGCUCCUUGCACACACCGCCCGUCAAACCACCCGAGUUGGGUUUCAGUGAGGAUGUUUCUAAUUGGGGCUUUCGAACUGAGAUUCAGCAAGGAGGGUUAAGUCGUAACAAGGUAUCUGUAGGGGAACCUGCAGAUGGAUCACCUCCUACGUAACAAAUUAA
RNAcentral lists this ribosomal RNA (1494 nucleotides) under Candidatus Methanomassiliicoccus intestinalis Issoire-Mx1. RNAcentral describes it as "bacterial SSU rRNA". It matches the Rfam family "Archaeal small subunit ribosomal RNA". Lineage: Archaea; Methanobacteriati; Thermoplasmatota; Thermoplasmata; Methanomassiliicoccales; Methanomassiliicoccaceae. The record is from RNAcentral.